AUACGUAGGGGGCGAGCGUUAUCCGGAUUUUAUUGGGUGUAAAGGGUGCGUAGGCGGUUUAUUAAGUCUAAAAUUAAAGCCUGGGGCUUAACCUCAGUUCGUUUUAGAAACUGGUAGGCUUGAGUAUGGUAGAGGUAAGUGGAAUUUCUAGUGUAGCGGUUAAAUGCGUAGAUAUUAGAAGGAACACCAGUGGCGAAGGCGGCUUACUGGGCCAUUACUGACGCUGAUGCACGAAAGCGUGGGGAGC
Molecule: ribosomal RNA, 247 nt
Filed under: uncultured bacterium
Lineage: Bacteria
Description: partial 16S ribosomal RNA
Rfam family: Bacterial small subunit ribosomal RNA
Source: RNAcentral